AGUGAACGCUGGCGGUAGGCCUAACACAUGCCAGUCGAACGGCAGCACAGUAAGAUCUUGCUCUUAUGGGUGGCGAGUGGCGGACGGGUGAGGAAUACAUCGGAAUCUACUUUUUCGUGGGGGAUAACGUAGGGAAACUUACGCUAAUACCGCAUACGACCUACGGGUGAAAGCAGGGGAUCUUCGGACCUUGCGCGAUUGAAUGAGCCGAUGUGGGAUUAGCUAGUUGGCGGGGUAAAGGCCCACCAAGGCGACGAUCCGUAGCUGGUCUGAGAGGAUGAUCGGCGACCCUGGAGCUGGAACACGGUCCAGGCUCCUACGGGAGGCAGCAGUGGGGAAUGUUAGACAAUGGGCGGAAGCCUGAUCCAGCCAUACCGCGUGGGUGAAGAAGGCCUUCGGGUUGUGAAGCCCUUUUGUUGGGAAAGAAAAGCAGCAGGUUAAUACCCCGCUGUUCUGACGGUACCCAAAGAAUAAGCACCGGCUAACUUCGUG
Molecule: ribosomal RNA, 492 nt
Filed under: uncultured bacterium
Lineage: Bacteria
Description: partial 16S ribosomal RNA
Rfam family: Bacterial small subunit ribosomal RNA
Source: RNAcentral